UUCAGAUAAUUCUAUAUCAACCCUCUUACCUUUAGAUAACACCAAAUAGGCACCAAACUUCAGAUACCACCAAAGCAGCUCCAACUUUCAAAUGCCAAUAAAUUAGUCCUUUCACUUUAUUAUACCUACAAAUAAGUUCUCAAACUUUAAGAUAUAUGCAUACUAGUCCUCCAGCUUUUAGUUUCCUCUAUAUUCAUCCUCCAACUUUCAGGUAUUAUAAAACCAGUUCUUGAACUUACAACAACUUCAUAUUCGUCCUCUAACUUUCUUAUACUAAUACAAUCAAUCCUCCUACUCUUAUACACCUCCUAACCAGUCCUCUAACUUUUAGAUAAUUCUAUAUAAAUCCUUCAACUUAUAAAUUCCUCCAAAUCAAUCCUCUAAAUUUUGGUUACUUCAUUAUUAGAUUAGGUAUGAUGUAUGGACAUUAUUCACUUCUCU
This 441-nucleotide long non-coding RNA is filed under the name Olea europaea (common olive). Its description in RNAcentral is "long non-coding RNA (OEUR_LNC001113)". Lineage: Eukaryota; Viridiplantae; Streptophyta; Magnoliopsida; Lamiales; Oleaceae. The record is from RNAcentral.